AGGGUAGUAGCGCAGCUGGUAGCGUACUUGGUUGGAGACCAAGGGGUCGUCGGCGGUCCGCCGUA
RNAcentral lists this transfer RNA (65 nucleotides) under Larkinella rosea. RNAcentral describes it as "tRNA-Ser". Lineage: Bacteria; Pseudomonadati; Bacteroidota; Cytophagia; Cytophagales; Spirosomataceae. The record is from RNAcentral.